CAGGGGGAACCUGAAGGAGCGACGCCGCGUGGAGGAUGAAGGUCUUCGGAUUGUAAACUCCUGUCAUGAGGGAGUAAGACACAGCGUUAACUGCGUAUGUGUUUGAUAGUACCUCAAGAGGAAGAGACGGCUAACUCUGUGCCAGCAGCCGCGGUAAUACAGAGGUCUCAAGCGUUGUUCGGAUUCAUUGGGCGUAAAGGGUGCGUAGGUGGCAAGGCAAGUCAGAUGUUAAAUCCCCGGGCUCAACCUGGGAACUGCAUUUGAUACUGCCGUGCUCGAGUGCUGGAGGGGAAACUGGAAUUCACGGUGUAGCAGUGAAAUGCGUAGAUAUCGUGAGGAAGACCGGUGGCGAAGGCGAGUCUCUGGACAGCAACUGACACUGAGGCACGAAGGCUAGGGGAGCAAACGGGAUUAGAUACCCCGGUAGUCCUAGCAGUAAACGGUGCGCGUUUGGUAUGGGGGGAUCGACCCCUUCCGUGCCGGAGCUAACGCGUUAAACGCGCCGCCUGGGGAGUACGGUCGCAAGAUUAAAACUCAAAGAAAUUGACGGGGGCCCGCACAAGCGGUGGAGUAUGUGGCUUAAUUCGAUGCAACGCGAAGAACCUUUACUAGGCUUGACAUGCAUCUCUAAGUUGGUGAAA
Molecule: ribosomal RNA, 641 nt
Filed under: uncultured archaeon
Lineage: Archaea
Description: bacterial SSU rRNA
Rfam family: Bacterial small subunit ribosomal RNA
Source: RNAcentral